This 60-nucleotide transfer RNA is filed under the name Serratella sp. Liaoning-2019. Its description in RNAcentral is "tRNA-Arg". The record is from RNAcentral. Lineage: Eukaryota; Metazoa; Arthropoda; Insecta; Ephemeroptera; Ephemerellidae.
AAUAAGAAGCGAUUUUUGCACCCAGUUUCGACCUGGUCCUAGGUGGAUACACCCUUAUUU